Molecule: ribosomal RNA, 1380 nt
Filed under: Arthrobacter sp. P1(2015)
Lineage: Bacteria; Bacillati; Actinomycetota; Actinomycetes; Micrococcales; Micrococcaceae
Description: bacterial SSU rRNA
Rfam family: Bacterial small subunit ribosomal RNA
Source: RNAcentral
GCAGUCGACGAUGAGCCCAGCUUGCUGGGUGGAUUAGUGGCGAACGGGUGAGUAACACGUGAGUAACCUGCCCCCGACUCUGGGAUAAGCCCGGGAAACUGGGUCUAAUACCGGAUAUGACCUCGCACCGCAUGGUGCGGGGUGGAAAGAUUUAUCGGUGGGGGAUGGACUCGCGGCCUAUCAGCUUGUUGGUGAGGUAAUGGCUCACCAAGGCGACGACGGGUAGCCGGCCUGAGAGGGUGACCGGCCACACUGGGACUGAGACACGGCCCAGACUCCUACGGGAGGCAGCAGUGGGGAAUAUUGCACAAUGGGCGCAAGCCUGAUGCAGCGACGCCGCGUGAGGGAUGACGGCCUUCGGGUUGUAAACCUCUUUCAGUAGGGAAGAAGCGAAAGUGACGGUACCUGCAGAAGAAGCGCCGGCUAACUACGUGCCAGCAGCCGCGGUAAUACGUAGGGCGCAAGCGUUAUCCGGAUUUAUUGGGCGUAAAGAGCUCGUAGGCGGUUUGUCGCGUCUGCCGUGAAAGUCCGAGGCUCAACCUCGGAUCUGCGGUGGGUACGGGCAGACUAGAGUGAUGUAGGGGAGACUGGAAUUCCUGGUGUAGCGGUGAAAAUGCGCAGAUAUCAGAGGAACACCCGAUGGCGAAAGCAGGUCUCUGGGCAUUUACUGACGCUGAGGAGCGAAAGCAUGGGGAGCGAACAGGAUUAGAUACCCUGGUAGUCCAUGCCGUAAACGUUGGGCACUAGGUGUGGGGGACAUUCCACGUUUUCCGCGCCGUAGCUAACGCAUUAAGUGCCCCGCCUGGGGAGUACGGCCGCAAGGCUAAAACUCAAAGGAAUUGACGGGGGCCCGCACAAGCGGCGGAGCAUGCGGAUUAAUUCGAUGCAACGCGAAGAACCUUACCAAGGCUUGACAUGUGCCAGACCGCUCCAGAGAUGGGGUUUCCCUUCGGGGCUGGUUCACAGGUGGUGCAUGGUUGUCGUCAGCUCGUGUCGUGAGAUGUUGGGUUAAGUCCCGCAACGAGCGCAACCCUCGUUCCAUGUUGCCAGCACGUAGUGGUGGGGACUCAUGGGAGACUGCCGGGGUCAACUCGGAGGAAGGUGGGGAUGACGUCAAAUCAUCAUGCCCCUUAUGUCUUGGGCUUCACGCAUGCUACAAUGGCCGGUACAAUGGGUUGCGAUACUGUGAGGUGGAGCUAAUCCCUAAAAGCCGGUCUCAGUUCGGAUUGGGGUCUGCAACUCGACCCCAUGAAGUCGGAGUCGCUAGUAAUCGCAGAUCAGCAACGCUGCGGUGAAUACGUUCCCGGGCCUUGUACACACCGCCCGUCAAGUCACGAAAGUUGGUAACACCCGAAGCCGAUGGCCUAACCACCUUGUGUG